CCCCUACGGGGCGCAGCAGUGGGGAAUAUUGCACAAUGGGGGAAACCCUGAUGCAGCGACGCCGCGUGGGUGACGAAGUAUUUCGGUAUGUAAAGCCCUAUCAGCAGGGAAGAAGAUGACAGUACCUGACUAAGAAGCCCCGGCUAACUACGUGCCAGCAGCCGCGGUAAUACGUAGGGGGCAAGCGUUAUCCGGAUUUACUGGGUGUAAAGGGAGCGUAGACGGUUAAGUAAGUCUGGAGUGAAAGGCCGGGGCCCAACCCCGGGACUGCUCCGGAAACUAUUGAACUUGAGUGCAGGAGAGGG
This 305-nucleotide ribosomal RNA is filed under the name uncultured bacterium. Its description in RNAcentral is "bacterial SSU rRNA". It matches the Rfam family "Bacterial small subunit ribosomal RNA", at positions 336 to 658 of the family's 1533-position model. The record is from RNAcentral.